This is a long non-coding RNA of Myzus persicae (green peach aphid), 387 nucleotides long. RefSeq lists it as uncharacterized. Lineage: Eukaryota; Metazoa; Arthropoda; Insecta; Hemiptera; Aphididae. The record is from RefSeq and is a predicted model, not a curated record. The transcript has 3 exons.
UUUUUAUGAACGUUGAUAAAAAAAUUCUCGCUCGGUCAAAAAUCUUAUAAAUGGAAUACAAGAUCCUCUGUAACUAAAUUUUCCUUGAAAAAUAAAAAUAUUAAAAAUACAUAGGUAAGACUUUACAAUGUUACAAAAGGUUCCUGAUAAAUAACCCAAGGUUAUAUAGAUAUAAAUUGAAGCGACAACGACAAAGUACUCGUUUGAUACGUCGAUUGCGAUUUACAACGAAAAAAGAAACCACAAAUCAUACGUGAAAAAAUAUAUUCUAUUAAUUAAUAAACACAUUACCGGAUCACAUACUUAUAUAUAUACAGACGCCUCAAAAACAGACAAAAGGGGCACUGCGGAAUAACUGGCAAUGAAAGAGCAGACAUACGUGCCAAG